AUGAAUGAUGAAAGACUCGCAGGAGGAAAAGGAUACUCUUGUGGUUUCAAGGCAGCUCUUGGAAAGGAGCUGAACCAAGAAGAGCAUGCCACUCCAGACUGGGCUGAACAAGCUCCUACCUCCUCCAACACCAGGAAGCAAGUCCCAACCUCGCAGGAAGGAAGUGCUAGUCACAAGACCCAACUGCCACUCCCAGUUGCCCCUUCCCCCACAAACUGUCACAAAUUCUAUUCUCAUAAUUCUUUUGAGCCACUCAAGAAGAAUGUUUUAGGAAUCCUUAUUCUUUUAAAAUUCAAGAGUCCUCUGUGUCAUCAAAGAGAUCUUUUGCACCACAGAAUGCUGUUGGGGAAUUAUCCCCUGAAGAUUCGGCAAAAUCCCAAAGCCUAUAACUUGUGUCUCCAUAGCAUUGAAAAGAAAGAGGGAGGAAGAGGAUUCUGGGUUCAUUUAUGCAGCAAGCAAAACACUUCUUGGUUGUGUCCCUGAGUUGGCUGGUAGAACAUUGCUGCCAGUAGUAUUUGGUGACUUGGAAGGGGGUGUUGAAUGAGUUUGAGAUGGGCAUCAGUUCAUGAUCUUUUCAAUAUUCCUGAUGUCCUCAACCAUAGAGACAGUUAAAGAUGCUGUGUAUUUGGUGCAUAAUUUUGUUUUGGAAAGUUUUAAAAGGUUGUAAGCAUCACAACAUAUAUGAGAAUGUCUAGUCAUCCAUUUUAUUGUCUAACUUUUGAAACUUUUUCAGAUGGAUUAUUAUGACUCCCCCAAUGUUGUACCAUGAGUCUACAUAUAAUUCUUAACAUUUAUUCUUAUUGAAUUUCCUCUAAUUAGAUUCAGGCCAAUAUGAACUAAUGUGGAUCUAAACUCUUUCAUCCAUUGUGUUCGUUCUGUCUCAGCUUUGUGUCAUUUGUAAAUUUACUGAGCACGUCAUCAAUACCUUUAACCAGGUGCAGAAUAAAAGUGCUAAAUAGCACUAAUUCCUGGACCA
RNAcentral lists this long non-coding RNA (976 nucleotides) under Monodelphis domestica (gray short-tailed opossum). RNAcentral describes it as "lncRNA (ENSMODG00000034890.2)". The record is from RNAcentral. Lineage: Eukaryota; Metazoa; Chordata; Mammalia; Didelphimorphia; Didelphidae.